This 141-nucleotide ribosomal RNA is filed under the name Dorea formicigenerans. Its description in RNAcentral is "partial 16S ribosomal RNA". It matches the Rfam family "Bacterial small subunit ribosomal RNA", at positions 1 to 120 of the family's 1533-position model. Lineage: Bacteria; Bacillati; Bacillota; Clostridia; Lachnospirales; Lachnospiraceae. The record is from RNAcentral.
UUUUUAAACGAGAGUUUGAUCCUGGCUCAGGAUGAACGCUGGCGGCGUGCUUAACACAUGCAAGUCGAGCGAAGCGCUUAAGUUCGAUUCUUCGGAUGAGGACUUUUGUGACUGAGCGGCGGACGGGUGAGUAACGCGUGG